This 482-nucleotide ribosomal RNA is filed under the name uncultured bacterium. RNAcentral's name for it is "partial 16S ribosomal RNA". It matches the Rfam family "Bacterial small subunit ribosomal RNA", at positions 30 to 507 of the family's 1533-position model. The record is from RNAcentral.
AUUGAACGCUGGCGGCAUGCUUUACACAUGCAAGUCGAACGGUAACAGGCCGCAAGGUGCUGACGAGUGGCGAACGGGUGCGUAAUGCAUCGGAACGUGCCCAGUCGUGGGGGAUAACUACUCGAAAGAGUAGCUAAUACCGCAUACGAUCUAUGGAUGAAAGCGGGGGACCGCAAGGCCUCGCGCGAUUGGAGCGGCCGAUGUCAGAUUAGGUAGUUGGUGGGGUAAAGGCUCACCAAGCCAACGAUCUGUAGCUGGUCUGAGAGGACGACCAGCCACACUGGGACUGAGACACGGCCCAGACUCCUACGGGAGGCAGCAGUGGGGAAUUUUGGACAAUGGGCGAAAGCCUGAUCCAGCAAUGCCGCGUGCAGGAAGAAGGCCUUCGGGUUGUAAACUGCUUUUGUACGGAACGAAACGGCUCUGGUUAAUACCCGGGGCUAAUGACGGUACCGUAAGAAUAAGCACCGGCUAACUACGUG